Molecule: non-coding RNA, 995 nt
Organism: Schizosaccharomyces pombe (fission yeast)
Lineage: Eukaryota; Fungi; Ascomycota; Schizosaccharomycetes; Schizosaccharomycetales; Schizosaccharomycetaceae
Source: the annotation of a GenBank genome assembly
AAUAGGAAAACAAUACGAUUCAACAAACACACGGCAAAGAAGCAAUUUUACGGAAUGAGGUGAAUGCGAAAGGAAUUAAAACGCGUCUUUUUUUUUGUAAACACAAGCAAAACAAACGGGGAAGACGAGAAAGAGUAGAAAAGACGCGUAAAAGCAAAGGUAAAAAAAGGAUGGCAAGUGAGAGUAAGUGAGAUAGAGAAAAAAGAAAAGAAAGAAACACACACACACACAAAAAAAAAAAAAAAAGGAAGUGUAAAAUGGGAAAAGAGGAAAAAUAAACAAUGAAAAUUUGAGAAAGGAAAAAAAGAAAAGAAAACGAAAAAGAGAAAGAAAGGAAAAAUAAUAAGAAGAAAAAAAAAAGCAAUAGACAACGGAAAAGUGAUAGCUCCGAACCAGUGAAUGGAUGUAAGAAAUUGGGAAAAGGUCUCUUUUGUGAAAGGGGAAAAGAAAAAGAGAGAGAGAGCUUUUUUGGAUUGAUGGAAAGUGAAGUGGGAAGCGUAUCUGGAUGGGUACAGAAGAGAAAACAGGAAUGAGAAAAAUUAGAGAAAAGACAAAGGUUGGAGUGCGUAUUUAUAAGAGGAAUAGAUGGGAAGACUGCUAGGGAGCAACAUAAGGAGGGGAUCAAAAGAUCGACCAAGCUUUUGUCCGCUUCCGUGAUUUUGUUACGAUGGCAAGGAGGAAAAAGAAAAAAACAAACAUUAACGCACGUCAUGAGCAAAUGGGUUGUGACUUGCAGACAUGAAAGGGGGGGCGAGAGAGAAGUGGAGAAUGGGGACAAGAAACAGCGAGCCCAACAGCCUAAGGAUAAGCGCACAGGCUCAGGAGGUAGAAGGGGAGGGUUGGGGAGAAGCGAUUUGAGGGAUAAGUAAGGAAGCGAGAGGAGGAAGAGGGAGGAGAGAGGAAGGAGGAAAGAGAGAGAAGGAAGCGGAGGGAGAGAGAGGAAAGCGAGAGAGAAAGAGAAGGGGGUAUAAGAGAAAUGGCAGUAGGAAAACUGG